GUUUGUUUACUUAUUUAUUUAUUUUUAAAUUGAGAUAUAACUAAGGUAUAACAUUAUAUCAGUUUAAGGUGUACAACAUAGUGAUUUGACGUUUGUACAUAUUGCUAAGUAAUCACCACAAUAAGUCUAGUUAACAUCCUUUAUCAUACAUAGUUACAAAUUCUUUUUUCUUGUGAUGAGAACGUUUAAAACCUACUCUCUUAGCAACUUUAAAAUAUGCAUUACAGUAUUAUUAACUAAAGUCACCAUGCUGUACAUUACAUCCCCAGGACUUAUUUAUUUUGUAACUGGAACUUUGUAACUUUUGAUGACCUUCACCUAUUCCCCCUGAAUUUGUAGUCCGCUUGACAGAAGUGUGGGCAGCCUGGGAACCCAUUGCCACUGGUGUCUGAAGCGGGAGCAGUCCUGUAGGACGGAGCCCUUAACCUGUGGGGUCUGAUGCUAACUCCAGGUUUGAGAGAGCAUCAUGGAAUUCCUUCCAAGGAUGCAAGAGGAAGAAGAAUCUCUUUCAAUUUCCAGUAGAAUUCAUUGCAGUGAGUUUAUGCCAACAAUUGAUCCCAGCACCUGUGUGCAGGACCUGCUGCUUUUGGAACCCAACUGCCAUGAUGUGAGAAGCCCAAGUCACAUGGAGAAGCUCUACCUAUACUCCCUGCCAACAGCCAACAUCAAUUGCUAGUCAUGGGAGUGAGCCAUCUUGGCCAUCCAGCCCAACUGAGGAUGACUGCAACUGCCUGAGAGAUCCCACACAACUCACAGAAAUGUUCAGUCAACUCACAGAAAUGCGAGAGACAAUAUUAAAUUUAAGUUUUCAGGUGGUUUGUUAUACAGCUGUAGGUAACAGGGAUUUUAAAAAUACCAAUUUUAUUCAUUCAAAC
RNAcentral lists this long non-coding RNA (875 nucleotides) under Equus caballus (horse). RNAcentral's name for it is "lncRNA (ENSECAG00000039485.3)". Lineage: Eukaryota; Metazoa; Chordata; Mammalia; Perissodactyla; Equidae. The record is from RNAcentral.